RNAcentral lists this ribosomal RNA (2219 nucleotides) under Salmonella enterica. RNAcentral's name for it is "partial 23S ribosomal RNA". It matches the Rfam family "Bacterial large subunit ribosomal RNA", at positions 599 to 2802 of the family's 2925-position model. The record is from RNAcentral. RNAcentral also lists the same sequence under 2 other names. Lineage: Bacteria; Pseudomonadati; Pseudomonadota; Gammaproteobacteria; Enterobacterales; Enterobacteriaceae.
GCGUACCUUUUGUAUAAUGGGUCAGCGACUUAUAUUCUGUAGCAAGGUUAACCGAAUAGGGGAGCCGGAGGGAAACCGAGUCUUAACCGGGCGUUAAGUUGCAGGGUAUAGACCCGAAACCCGGUGAUCUAGCCAUGGGCAGGUUGAAGGUUGGGUAACACUAACUGGAGGACCGAACCGACUAAUGUUGAAAAAUUAGCGGAUGACCUGUGGCUGGGGGUGAAAGGCCAAUCAAACCGGGAGAUAGCUGGUUCUCCCCGAAAGCUAUUUAGGUAGCGCCUCGUGAAUUCAUCUCCGGGGGUAGAGCACUGUUUCGGCUAGGGGGCCAUCCCGGCUUACCAACCCGAUGCAAACUGCGAAUACCGGAGAAUGUUAUCACGGGAGACACACGGCGGGUGCUAACGUCCGUCGUGAAGAGGGAAACAACCCAGACCGCCAGCUAAGGUCCCAAAGUCAUGGUUAAGUGGGAAACGAUGUGGGAAGGCCCAGACAGCCAGGAUGUUGGCUUAGAAGCAGCCAUCAUUUAAAGAAAGCGUAAUAGCUCACUGGUCGAGUCGGCCUGCGCGGAAGAUGUAACGGGGCUAAACCAUGCACCGAAGCUGCGGCAGCGACACUGUGUGUUGUUGGGUAGGGGAGCGUUCUGUAAGCCUGUGAAGGUGUGUCGUGAGGCAUGCUGGAGGUAUCAGAAGUGCGAAUGCUGACAUAAGUAACGAUAAAGCGGGUGAAAAGCCCGCUCGCCGGAAGACCAAGGGUUCCUGUCCAACGUUAAUCGGGGCAGGGUGAGUCGACCCCUAAGGCGAGGCCGAAAGGCGUAGUCGAUGGGAAACGGGUUAAUAUUCCCGUACUUGGUGUUACUGCGAAGGGGGGACGGAGAAGGCUAUGUUGGCCGGGCGACGGUUGUCCCGGUUUAAGCGUGUAGGUGUGUGUUCCAGGUAAAUCCGGUUCACUUUAACACUGAGGCGUGACGACGAGGCACUACGGUGCUGAAGCAACAAAUGCCCUGCUUCCAGGAAAAGCCUCUAAGCAUCAGGUAACAUCAAAUCGUACCCCAAACCGACACAGGUGGUCAGGUAGAGAAUACCAAGGCGCUUGAGAGAACUCGGGUGAAGGAACUAGGCAAAAUGGUGCCGUAACUUCGGGAGAAGGCACGCUGACACGUAGGUGAAGUGAUUUACUCAUGGAGCUGAAGUCAGUCGAAGAUACCAGCUGGCUGCAACUGUUUAUUAAAAACACAGCACUGUGCAAACACGAAAGUGGACGUAUACGGUGUGACGCCUGCCCGGUGCCGGAAGGUUAAUUGAUGGGGUCAGCGCAAGCGAAGCUCCUGAUCGAAGCCCCGGUAAACGGCGGCCGUAACUAUAACGGUCCUAAGGUAGCGAAAUUCCUUGUCGGGUAAGUUCCGACCUGCACGAAUGGCGUAAUGAUGGCCAGGCUGUCUCCACCCGAGACUCAGUGAAAUUGAACUCGCUGUGAAGAUGCAGUGUACCCGCGGCAAGACGGAAAGACCCCGUGAACCUUUACUAUAGCUUGACACUGAACAUUGAGCCUUGAUGUGUAGGAUAGGUGGGAGGCUUUGAAGUGUGGACGCCAGUCUGCAUGGAGCCGACCUUGAAAUACCACCCUUUAAUGUUUGAUGUUCUAACGUGGACCCGUUACCCGGGUUGCGGACAGUGUCUGGUGGGUAGUUUGACUGGGGCGGUCUCCUCCUAAAGAGUAACGGAGGAGCACGAAGGUUGGCUAAUCCUGGUCGGACAUCAGGAGGUUAGUGCAAUGGCAUAAGCCAGCUUGACUGCGAGCGUGACGGCGCGAGCAGGUGCGAAAGCAGGUCAUAGUGAUCCGGUGGUUCUGAAUGGAAGGGCCAUCGCUCAACGGAUAAAAGGUACUCCGGGGAUAACAGGCUGAUACCGCCCAAGAGUUCAUAUCGACGGCGGUGUUUGGCACCUCGAUGUCGGCUCAUCACAUCCUGGGGCUGAAGUAGGUCCCAAGGGUAUGGCUGUUCGCCAUUUAAAGUGGUACGCGAGCUGGGUUUAGAACGUCGUGAGACAGUUCGGUCCCUAUCUGCCGUGGGCGCUGGAGAACUGAGGGGGGCUGCUCCUAGUACGAGAGGACCGGAGUGGACGCAUCACUGGUGUUCGGGUUGUCAUGCCAAUGGCACUGCCCGGUAGCUAAAUGCGGAAGAGAUAAGUGCUGAAAGCAUCUAAGCACGAAACUUGCCCCGA